Molecule: transfer RNA, 71 nt
Filed under: Loxodonta africana (African savanna elephant)
Lineage: Eukaryota; Metazoa; Chordata; Mammalia; Proboscidea; Elephantidae
Rfam family: tRNA
About the family: Transfer RNA (tRNA) molecules are approximately 80 nucleotides in length. Their secondary structure includes four short double-helical elements and three loops (D, anti-codon, and T loops).
Source: Rfam by way of RNAcentral
GUAGUGGUGGUUCAAUGGUAGAACUCUUGCCUUCCAUGCAGGAGACCUGAGUUCAAUUCCCAGGCAAUUCA